AGAGUUUGAUCCUGGCUCAGGAUAAACGCUGGCGGCGCACAUAAGACAUGCAAGUCGAACGGACUUAACCGAAGUAUUUAUAUUUUGGAGCGGUUAGUGGCGGACUGGUGAGUAACACGUAAGCAACCUGCCUAUUAGAGGGGAAUAACAGUGAGAAAUCAUUGCUAAUACCGCAUAUGCUGUGAGUAUCGCAUGAUACAAACAGGAAAGGAGCAAUCCGCUAAUAGAUGGGCUUGCGUCUGAUUAGAUAGUUGGUGGGGUAACGGCCUACCAAGUCAACGAUCAGUAGCCGAACUGAGAGGUUGAACGGCCACAUUGGGACUGAGAUACGGCCCAGACUCCUACGGGAGGCAGCAGUCGGGAAUAUUGCACAAUGGAGGAAACUCUGAUGCAGUGACGCCGCGUGCAGGAAGAAGGUUUUCGGAUUGUAAACUGCUUUAGACAGGGAAGAAACAAGACAGUACCUGUAGAAUAAGCUCCGGCUAACUACGUGCCAGCAGCCGCGGUAAUACGUAGGGAGCAAGCGUUAUCCGGAUUUAUUGGGUGUAAAGGGUGCGUAGACGGGAAUUUAAGUUAGUUGUGAAAUCCCUCGGCUUAACUGAGGAACUGCAACUAAAACUGAAUUUCUUGAGUGCGGGAGAAGAAAGUGGAAUUCCUAGUGUAGCGG
RNAcentral lists this ribosomal RNA (667 nucleotides) under uncultured bacterium. RNAcentral's name for it is "bacterial SSU rRNA". It matches the Rfam family "Bacterial small subunit ribosomal RNA", at positions 8 to 681 of the family's 1533-position model. The record is from RNAcentral.